RNAcentral lists this ribosomal RNA (585 nucleotides) under uncultured archaeon. Its description in RNAcentral is "bacterial SSU rRNA". It matches the Rfam family "Archaeal small subunit ribosomal RNA", at positions 728 to 1316 of the family's 1478-position model. The record is from RNAcentral.
AUUAGAUACCCGGGUAGUCCUGGCCGUAAACGAUGCGGGCUAGUUGUCACAAUGGCUGCGCGCCACUGUGGUGCCGUAGAGAAAUCGCGAAGCCUGCCGCUUGGGAAGUACGGCCGCAAGGCUGAAACUUGAAGGAAUUGGCGGGGGAGCAUACAACGGGUGGAGCCUGCGGUUUAAUUGGAUUCAACGCCGGGAAUCUUACCGGGUGCGACAGCUGGAUGAAGGCCAGGCUAAAGACCUUGCUGGACUAGCUGAGAGGAGGUGCAUGGCCGUCGUCAGUUCGUACUGUGAAGCGUCCUGUUAAGUCAGGCAACGAACGAGAUCCACGCCCACUGUUGCCAGCGCGCCCUCCGGGGUGGCGGGUACACGGUGGGGACCGCUGGUGCUAAACCAGAGGAAGGAAUGGGUAACGGUAGGUCAGUACGCCCCGAAUCUCCCGGGUACACGCGUGUACAAUGGUUGGGACAAUGGGUAUCGACCCCGAAAGGGGAAGGAAAUCUCUAAACCCAACCUUAGUUCGGAUUGGGGGCUGCAACUCGCCCCCAUGAAGAUGGAAUCCGUAGUAAUCGCGACUCAAAAUGUCGC